AAUGCCUGAGAGCAAAGAAAGCUUGCCAAUGCCUCCUAGUCAACUCAGACCGCAUGAAAUAUUGAAGCAGGGUGUACUUAUGACAAUAAAUGACUUGAGUGGCGUCAGAAAUGAUUCGAAUGGAGUUACAUCUGCUAGCUCAAUAGUUAAUGCAGUUGGGAAGAAUUCAAAUGACUCUAAAAGUGACAUUCUUCAACACCUAAGACCACACCAAAAUCAUUCUCAGACUACUUUGGCAUCUGGUGUAUACACCUGUCAGAAGCAGGCUUUCAAUUUCUUGU
This 281-nucleotide unclassified non-coding RNA is filed under the name Hevea brasiliensis (rubber tree). The record is from RNAcentral. Lineage: Eukaryota; Viridiplantae; Streptophyta; Magnoliopsida; Malpighiales; Euphorbiaceae.